AGCAUAUCAAUAAGCGGAGGAAAAGAAACCAACAGGGAUUGCCCUAGUAACGGCGAGUGAAGCGGCAACAGCUCAAAUUUGAAAUCUGGCGCAAGCCCGAGUUGUAAUUUGUAGAGGAUGCUUCUGGGCAGCGGCCGGUCUAAGUUCCUUGGAACAGGACGUCAUAGAGGGUGAGAAUCCCGUAUGCGACCGGUUGGCACCCGUCACGUAGCUCCUUCGACGAGUCGAGUUGUUUGGGAAUGCAGCUCUAAAUGGGUGGUAAAUGUCAUCUAAAGCUAAAUACCGGCCAGAGACCGAUAGCGCACAAGUAGAGUGAUCGAAAGAUGAAAAGCACUUUGGAAAGAGAGUUAAAAAGCACGUGAAAUUGUUGAAAGGGAAGGGCAUGCAACCAGACUUGUUAGCGGUGUUCCGCUGGUCUUUUGACCGGUCUACUCGCCGCUGACAGGCCAGCAUCACCUGGGUGCGCUGGAUAAAGGCGUGGGGAAUGUAGCUCCUCGGAGUGUUAUAGCCCCGCGCACAAUACAGCGUCGCCCGGGUGAGGUCCGCGCUCCGGCUAGGAUGCUGGCGUAAUGGUUGUCUGCCGCCCGUCUUGAAACACGGACCAAGGAGUCUAACAUCUAUGCGAGUGUUCGGGUGUCAAACCCCUACGCGUAAUGAAAGUGAACGGAGGUGGGAGCUUCGGCGCACCAUCGACCGAUCCUGAUGUCCUCGGAUGGAUUUGAGUAAGAGCAUAGCUGUUGGGACCCGAAAGAUGGUGAACUAUGCCUGAAUAGGGUGAAGCCAGAGGAAACUCUGGUGGAGGCUCGCAGCGGUUCUGACGUGCAAAUCGAUCGUCAAAUUUGGGUAUAGGGGCGAAAGACUAAUCGAACCAUCUAGUAGCUGGUUCCUGCCGAAG
This 895-nucleotide non-coding RNA is filed under the name Penidiella sp. UTHSC DI-13-256. Its description in RNAcentral is "eukaryotic LSU rRNA". It matches the Rfam family "Eukaryotic large subunit ribosomal RNA", at positions 37 to 966 of the family's 3401-position model. RNAcentral also lists the same sequence under 1 other name. Lineage: Eukaryota; Fungi; Ascomycota; Dothideomycetes; Mycosphaerellales; Teratosphaeriaceae. The record is from RNAcentral.